This 68-nucleotide transfer RNA is filed under the name Dicyrtomina saundersi. RNAcentral's name for it is "tRNA-Gln". Lineage: Eukaryota; Metazoa; Arthropoda; Collembola; Symphypleona; Dicyrtomidae. The record is from RNAcentral.
UUAUACUUAUUUUAUAGGAAUAAAAAAUUUUGAGUUUUUAGGAACCAGUGAAAUUCUAGUAGUAUAAA